Triticum aestivum (bread wheat) is the source of this 632-nucleotide long non-coding RNA. RefSeq lists it as uncharacterized. The transcript is spliced from 2 exons. The record is from RefSeq and is a predicted model, not a curated record. NCBI's taxonomy places the organism in Eukaryota, Viridiplantae, Streptophyta, Magnoliopsida, Poales, Poaceae.
CUCUCCCCAGGUACCACCCCGCCUCGCCCAGAUCUGCCGAGUGGGUAGGAACAGCUGGUCAUCCUAUACCCCACAUGUGUUGUUUAAUUUUGAUUGGGUUUUCUUCUAUUCUGUUCGUGUAGUAGAUGCAUGUCAGAGACUGAUGCCCCGUCCUUUGAUACUCCAGUUCUGAUUAUUAAUCUCCCUUUUAAACAUUUUUAGGUGUCCUAUCUCCGGCGUUCUUGAGCACCAUUGGGUCGAGGAAGGAGAAGCCAUCCUAUGGACUAGAACAGUUUGUGUGAGAUUUUAUUUUCUGGUGGGUUUAUUAGUUGGCUUGGAAAUGCUCCCUUGACAUUGUCCCAUUCAUCAACACAAAGAUUGUCAGCCUUUACCCAAUUGCAAGAUCUUCAGAAUAAAAAAGGGGAGACUGAGACCGGUAGAAAAGAGAUUCUUCAGUACACAAUAUAUGCAUCUGUUGAUUUUGCAAUUGUCCAGCGGCGAGGCCAACCAGGGACUCAAAAUGUCCGGUGAGAGCAUCCAAUAGCGGAAAGUCAUCCGAAGAAUCAUGUCCAGUGAGUAGUCCAGCUCCAGCAACAAGACCACAUCUGGUUUCCACCAACAAGCUGGACCAGCAGCAUUGUACUCGGGUAAGC